This 534-nucleotide ribosomal RNA is filed under the name uncultured bacterium. RNAcentral describes it as "bacterial SSU rRNA". It matches the Rfam family "Bacterial small subunit ribosomal RNA", at positions 8 to 531 of the family's 1533-position model. The record is from RNAcentral.
AGAGUUUGAUCAUGGCUCAGAUUGAACGCUGGCGGCAUGCCUAACACAUGCAAGUCGAACGGCAGCACAGUCGUAGCAAUACGAUGGGUGACGAGUGGCGGACGGGAGAGUAAUGCAUCGGGAUCUACCCUGACGUGGGGGAUAACCUCGGGAAACCGGGACUAAUACCGCAUACGUCCUACGGGAGAAAGCGGGGGACCUUCGGGCCUCGCGCGGCAGGACGAACCGAUGUGCGAUUAGCUAGUUGGCGGGGUAAUGGCCCACCAAGGCGACGAUCGCUAGCUGGUCUGAGAGGAUGAUCAGCCACACUGGGACUGAGACACGGCCCAGACUCCUACGGGAGGCAGCAGUGGGGAAUAUUGGACAAUGGGCGCAAGCCUGAUCCAGCAAUGCCGCGUGUGUGAAGAAGGCCUUCGGGUUGUAAAGCACUUUUAUCAGGAGCGAAAUACCACGGGUUAAUACCCUAUGGGGCUGACGGUACCUGAGGAAUAAGCACCGGCCAACUUCGUGCCAGCAGCCGCGGUAAUACGAAGG